GUGGGGAAUAUUGGACAAUGGGCGAAAGCCUGAUCCAGCCAUGCCGCGUGUGUGAAGAAGGUCUUCGGAUUGUAAAGCACUUUAAGUUGGGAGGAAGGGCAGUAAGUUAAUACCUUGCUGUUUUGACGUUACCAACAGAAUAAGCACCGGCUAACUUCGUGCCAGCAGCCGCGGUAAUACGAAGGGUGCAAGCGUUAAUCGGAAUUACUGGGCGUAAAGCGCGCGUAGGUGGUUCAGCAAGUUGAAGGUGAAAUCCCCGGGCUCAACCUGGGAACUGCCUCCGAAACUACUGAGCUAGAGUACGGUAGAGGGUAGUGGAAUUUCCUGUGUAGCGGUGAAAUGCGUAGAUAUAGGAAGGAACACCAGUGGCGAAGGCGACUACCUGGACUGAUACUGACACUGAGGUGCGAAAGCGUGGGGAGCAAACAGGAUUAGAUACCCCGGUAGUCC
Molecule: ribosomal RNA, 450 nt
Filed under: uncultured bacterium
Lineage: Bacteria
Description: partial 16S ribosomal RNA
Rfam family: Bacterial small subunit ribosomal RNA
Source: RNAcentral